UUUAUUUCUAUUUUAUUUAUACAUUAUUUUUUUAAUAAAUCUAAAAGAUGUAUGUGUUAAUGUAAUGUAGGGAAAUGCUCAAAUUUUAGAUGAAGAGUUAAAUCUUCGUUAUUCUAUAUGCCACGAGCAUUUCACAUAAAUUUGAUUAACAAUAAGAGUUACAUAAAACAUACUUAUGCCUUUUUUUUUAAUUUUUUUUUACUUCUUUAUUAAAUUUU
RNAcentral lists this long non-coding RNA (218 nucleotides) under Vitis vinifera (wine grape). RNAcentral's name for it is "long non-coding RNA (VVIN_LNC007933)". Lineage: Eukaryota; Viridiplantae; Streptophyta; Magnoliopsida; Vitales; Vitaceae. The record is from RNAcentral.